Molecule: ribosomal RNA, 253 nt
Filed under: uncultured bacterium
Lineage: Bacteria
Description: partial 16S ribosomal RNA
Rfam family: Bacterial small subunit ribosomal RNA
Source: RNAcentral
UACGGAGGGUGCAAGCGUUAAUCGGAAUUACUGGGCGUAAAGCGCACGCAGGCGGUUGGAUAAGUUGGAUGUGAAAGACCCGGGCUCAACCUGGGAAUUGCAUUUAAAACUGUCCAGCUAGAGUCCUGUAGAGGGGGGUAGAAUUCCAGGUGUAGCGGUGAAAUGCGUAGAGAGCUGGAGGAAUACCGGUGGCGAAGGCGGCCCCCUGGACAAAGACUGACGCUCAGGUGCGAAAGCGUGGGGAGCAAACAGG